Molecule: long non-coding RNA, 1762 nt
Organism: Brassica oleracea var. oleracea
Lineage: Eukaryota; Viridiplantae; Streptophyta; Magnoliopsida; Brassicales; Brassicaceae
Exons: 3
Source: RefSeq, a predicted model, not a curated record
CUUACUUGAGAAUGUGAUGGAUGACUUGGCUUUGUUAAUCAUUUGACCAGAAGCUCACUCAUAAUCUUUAAGGAUCCCCAGCAGAGUUUUGCAAUUUGAAGCGGAUGCAAGGCAAAAGAACAAGGUGUCAUCUGCAAAGAGCAGAUGACUGACCCUCUGGCUUCCACGUGCUACUCUGACUCCCUGAAGCAAAUUAAAAUUUCCUUUCUGCACUCUUGCACAAACCAAAUAGGACUUCACUACAGAGUAUUAAGAUAUAAGGAGAUAGGGGAUCUCCCUGCCUAAUACCUUGGAUACCCGUUGAGAAGAACAGCUGGAUCUUCUUCACCACCGCUGGCCCGAUGACCUCCAGUUGGACUGAAAGAAAAUGGCUGAAACCCCGUCGGGGCCUAGCACCUUAUCUGCAUUGAUCGCAAAGGCAGCUUCCUUUAUCUCAUUUGCAUGCGGCAUCACUAUGAGUCUUUCAUUUUGUGCAUCUGAAAUGCAUGGUUGGAGAGCUUCCACGAUUUUUGGUUGUCCAUCAACACAACCCGAUUCAAAGAGGUCCGAGUAGUAUCCUGAGAUGGCUCUGGAAAUCUCUUCUUCUUCAUAGACUGAAUUCUUUUUCAGCUUUUUUACAAGUGCAACAAUCUCAGAUUAAGUUCGUGAAUCAGGGCUUCAUCGGAUUUUGAAUUGGACAUUGCGGCCUCCAGUUUCUGUUUUGUAUCCUCCAACGACUUUUGGCUGUUUUCAUGAAACUUCUUACUCCAGGCACAAAUGGCCUUUCUGCAUGAGAGAGCAUCUCUUCCACAUUAAGCUGCAGGGAGUUUUCCCAAAUAUCCUUAAUGAUAUUUUUUAUUUCCAGAUUAUCUUUGAGGCGUUUAUCGUAUCUGAAAUUUUUUGCCCCUUUUUUCUUGAAGUAUCUAGGAAAGUAAGCAGAGGUCUGUGAUCUGAGCCCUCAAACUUGAGGUACUGGUUUGUGCAAGAUGGGAACAGCUCCGUUCAUUCGGUUUUACUUACAGAUCUUUCCAGUCUGCAAAGCACCAGAUGAGUGUGUCUCUUCCCUCUCCAAGAUAAGUAUUUUCCAGAAAAUUUUAGAUAAAAGAGUUCAUUCUAAGACAGGAAAGACCUGAAGGCACAGAAAGUUCCUUCAACUCUUUCUGGUCCUUCGCUUUUUUCAAUGUUGUCCACUAUUUCGUUGAAGUCUCCUGUUAGGAACCAUGGACCCCCUGAGUCUGAUUGUAGAGCUGAUAGUGAAUUCCAAACUUAUAGCCUUUUUGUCUAAUCUGGUUUACCGUAGACAAACGUUGCAUGAAACGAUUUAUCUUUAUAGGAGACUGUAGCAUCGAUAAAAUUGUUUGAAGAUGAAUUAAUUUGGAGAUCCAUAUCUUUUUUCCAGGAAAGAAAAAGACCUCCACCUCCUGGCGUGUGCGGUGGAACUGCAAAAUAAUUAUUUGACUGAAGCCAAUGAAGUUCCUUUAGCAACAUCCCCGUGGGGUUUUUGGUCUCCAUGAGGAAAACAAUGUCAUGAUCAUUCUUCCUCUGGAUCCCUUUGAGUCGCUGGACUGUUACGGGGUUCCCCAGCCCAUAGAAGUUCCAGCUAAAAAUCACUAAGUAGUCUGGUGUAAAGAAGCCAAAAAUCCGACUUCUUCAUUGUUAUAGCUGGUAUUACAUGGAUCGGCGGGUUCCUCCCUGAUUGAGAAGUUUUCUGCUACAUCAUUUGGAGUCUUUUUCACCAUUUCCUUCUUUCUAUAUGAUUCUCUCUCUAAUGGAUCUACACCUU